GCAUCGGUUGGCCAAAAAAUCACAGAAAAUUCUAACCUACCAAUGGGGGGGGGUCUCUAGGUGCAGUGGCUCCGAUGGUCCUCCUUCGCGGCUGGGGUUCCUUCUUGGCUAACCUGCACAAAAAAGACAGUAAACAAAAUGAUUAAAAAAUUGCAUGAAAUGGGAAGCAAGAAGGGGCUCAACAGAGGGAUUUUAGGGUUUCCGCAGUCGCGGCUCUACCGGGUUUUGCCCGCAGUUUUCAGUUUACCCACUGUCCCUCUUACUUCGAUUUAGCCACAGGGAUGCUUAUAAUUGAAUUUCGAGUGGAUAGGGAAAAAUUUUACCUUUUUUAGUAGUCAGCGAUGGCUCUAGUGCAGCAGGAUUUGGCAGUCGGGCUCCUUCUUUGGUGUCUGGUUCUUCUUCUCUGGCGGGGCUGGUGGCUAGGGUUUGGGUUCUCCUGCGACGUGAGGUAUUUAUACCCAUCCGACAUCGAUCUAGACCGUUCAUC
Molecule: long non-coding RNA, 487 nt
Filed under: Carica papaya (papaya)
Lineage: Eukaryota; Viridiplantae; Streptophyta; Magnoliopsida; Brassicales; Caricaceae
Description: long non-coding RNA (CPAP_LNC002404)
Source: RNAcentral